AAUUGAGUUGAUACCUUUCUGAUUCAGAAGCUAAGCAGGGUCAGAUCUGGUUAACCUGGGAUGGGAGACCAACAGGAAAUAGCAGGGAUCUCCAUUG
This 97-nucleotide ribosomal RNA is filed under the name Pogona vitticeps (central bearded dragon). Lineage: Eukaryota; Metazoa; Chordata; Lepidosauria; Squamata; Agamidae. The record is from RNAcentral.